GACGAACGCUGGCGGCGUGCUUAACACAUGCAAGUCGAACGGAAAGGCCCUGCUUUUGUGGGGUGCUCGAGUGGCGAACGGGUGAGUAACACGUGAGUAACCUGCCCUUGACUUUGGGAUAACUUCGGGAAACUGGGGCUAAUACCGGAUAGGAGCUCCUGCUGCAUGGUGGGGGUUGGAAAGUUUCGGCGGUUGGGGAUGGACUCGCGGCUUAUCAGCUUGUUGGUGGGGUAGUGGCUUACCAAGGCUUUGACGGGUAGCCGGCCUGAGAGGGUGACCGGCCACAUUGGGACUGAGAUACGGCCCAGACUCCUACGGGAGGCAGCAGUGGGGAAUAUUGCACAAUGGGCGGAAGCCUGAUGCAGCAACGCCGCGUGCGGGAUGACGGCCUUCGGGUUGUAAACCGCUUUCGCCUGUGAUGAAGCGUGAGUGACGGUAAUGGGUAAAGAAGCACCGGCUAACUACGUG
This 468-nucleotide ribosomal RNA is filed under the name uncultured bacterium. Its description in RNAcentral is "partial 16S ribosomal RNA". It matches the Rfam family "Bacterial small subunit ribosomal RNA", at positions 28 to 507 of the family's 1533-position model. The record is from RNAcentral.